UCAAGCCCGGCUUGUGUGUUGGGCCCUCGUCCCCCGGCUCCCGGGGGACGGGCCCGAAAGGCAGCGGCGGCACCGCGUCCGGUCCUCGAGCGUAUGGGGCUUCGUCUUCCGCUCCGUAGGCCCGGCCGGCGCCCGCCGACGCAU
This 144-nucleotide ribosomal RNA is filed under the name Aspergillus terreus. Its description in RNAcentral is "5.8S ribosomal RNA". The record is from RNAcentral. Lineage: Eukaryota; Fungi; Ascomycota; Eurotiomycetes; Eurotiales; Aspergillaceae.